This 61-nucleotide transfer RNA is filed under the name Baetis sp. PC-2010. Its description in RNAcentral is "tRNA-Arg". Lineage: Eukaryota; Metazoa; Arthropoda; Insecta; Ephemeroptera; Baetidae. The record is from RNAcentral.
AAGUAAGAAGCGAUUAAUUGCGUUCAGUUUCGACCUGAUUUUAGGCUUAGGCCCUUAUUUA